AUUCUAGAGGACUGGGCGGGGAGAUGGUGUCUCCCCGGCCGGGUGGCACUGACCGGUCAUGCUCAGGGCCCCCUUCUGGUUGCCGGUGCCCCACCUCUGGCCAGGUGGCAUCGGCUUCCGGGUAAAUCUGAGUUGCCCAAAGCGAGCCUCCGGAGGCCGCUUCAUCUCCUGGAACGUUUACUCAUUCAGGCCUCUGGACGUCGAUACUGGGGAUGAAAAGUUCAGAAAGUGGACAGAUUCCUGGUCUUCAGUCCAGACCUACUGAGUUAAAAUAUUGAGGAGAGAUGGAGCUCAACAGAUGCCCUAGGUGACUCUGAUGUGGCCUAAGUCUGGGGAAACUUAGAAGUACACACUGCAAUACUUCUCCAACCUAACAGAAAUGCAGAUUCUGAUUCGCAAUGUUUCCUGAAAUAUACCUGAGCUUGGAAACAGCAUGGAUCUAUACGAGCUGGUGCCCCACUAGUUGAUGACAUGGCUUGAUGAAAACGGAGGAGCACCUCACCACAAGAAGAGACCCUUGCAGUAGGAAACAAAACUGUGUGAGAAGACGUCUUCCUCCAACUGCAGCACCUGCUUCAGGGCCUUGGCCACCACCAUCUUCCGCUUCUGCAGAAACUCCAGCUCUGCUGGGCACAGGCUGAAGCCCAGUCGCACGUCCAGUGUCUCAGGGCUGGAGGGAGAGAGGACCCUGUAGUGGGCCUGCAGCCUCUACCUCCCUGGAGUAGACACAGCUUUAGGGUCCAUUGGACCUAGGCUCAAAGCCUACUUCUGCCAGGGACCACUUCUGUGACCUUGGGUCUCCACUUUCUCAUCUGUAAAGUGGGGCGAAUCGUGCUGAACUCUCAGCACUGUCUUCAGCACUUAAAGGGAUAACAAAUGCAAAGCCCCCAAAGCCUUAGCUGGUACAAUGCGAGCUGGUACUCAACAAAAGAUAACUGUUGGCAGUGUGUUAGGGACGCUUUGAGUCCUCUGUCUCCUCGGCCAGAUCUGGAAAGUCCAGAAAGUCUUCCCCCAGGUGGCUUCUCUUGCCCAGGGCCAGGCAUGGGUGACAAGAGGCGCUGAGAUCAUUUUGCCAAAUCCCUCUGAACAAGGCCCCACAGUACAGACUCUUCUGUGCUAGGUAAACAAACUCCCUGUUCCUAUGGAGCUCACGUUCUUCAGUGAGCUCUUCCUGCUCCUAGAAUAACAAUUAUCCUGUGUGUGUGUGCAAUUGACAAAAACCAUCACGUCCCUGAUCUCAUUGUGUCACCUCAUAGUCUGCAGGCAGGUGGGGCAGGCACCUCUGUGACAUGCCCAAUGCUUGUCCUCUUUUUUUUUUUUAAUCACAUCCCUGCCCCAAACAAGUCCAGGCUCCUGGCCUGGCAUCCAAGACCCUGCCUGACCUUUCCAAGCUCACCUCAAACUACCCUCGAAGCUUCUGGGUCAGGUCCCAGAGCUCCCAGAAGCAGUCCUGUUUCCGGGUCUUGGCACAGGCCCCUGCCUUCACCAGAAGUGUCUUCCCUUUGCCCACCUCCAGCCUGUGCAUCCUCUGAGGCCCAGCUCCCCAGUGACUCCAGAUGAAUGUACCUUGACCAUUUCCAACUGAGCCUUGGCUCACUAACAAAGCCACAUCUCCUUGAAGGCUGGGCCUAGGAGAUUUCCAUCAUGUCUCCUCUUUGUCUAGCACAGGGCUGCAGACACGGCUGUUAGAAAAUAAUUCUUUCUUUGGCCUCAACAGGGAAUGAAUAAUAAUAAUACAACAACAACAAUAACAAUAACAUUAGUUGACGUUUGCUGAGCAUCCCACUUGCCAGAUGGAUUACUGAGUACUUCACACGUGCUGUGUAGCUGGAUCCUCAGAGCAACCCAGUGAUUCACAGGAUCCUUGUUAUUCUCCCAAUGUGCAGAUGAGGAAAACAAAGACUCAGUAAGGGCAAAGAGCUUUUCCGAGGGCAAAUAGCUAAUCAAACUGUAAAUAGAAAUCAUGGCCACUUGAUUUCUGACAAUCAAGAUUUCUGAAAAUGAUGUUGUUUUCAGCAGAUGGUGCUGAGACAACUGGAUAUCCACAUGCCAAAGAACGAGGUUGAGCCCCUCUUUUACACCAUGUAGAUUAAUUACCUAAAAAUUGAUCAUAAACCUAAAUGUGAGAGCUAAAACUAAACAAGUCUUAGAAAAAAACAUGGGAAUGUAUUUUCAGGACCUUGGUCGGGCGCGGUGGCACAGGAUUGUAAUCCCAGCACUUUGGGAAGCUGAGGAGGGUGGAUAACUUGAGGUCAGGAGUUCGAGACCAGCCUAGUCAAUAUGGUGAAACCCCAUCUCUACUGAAAAUACAAAAAUUAGCCAGGUAUAGAGGUGUGCACCUGUAAUCCCAGCUACUGGGGAGGCUGAGGCAGGAGAAUUGCUUAACCCAGGAGGCAGAGGUUGCAGUGAGCCGAGAUCGCACCACUGUACUCCAGCCUGGGCGACAGUGAGACUCCAUUUCAAAACAAUAAAAUAAAAUAAAAUAAAAUAAAAUAAAAUAAAAAUGUCAGGACA
This 2514-nucleotide non-coding RNA is filed under the name Pongo abelii (Sumatran orangutan). Lineage: Eukaryota; Metazoa; Chordata; Mammalia; Primates; Hominidae. The record is from RNAcentral.